RNAcentral lists this long non-coding RNA (491 nucleotides) under Ictidomys tridecemlineatus (thirteen-lined ground squirrel). Its description in RNAcentral is "lncRNA (ENSSTOG00000031735.1)". The record is from RNAcentral. Lineage: Eukaryota; Metazoa; Chordata; Mammalia; Rodentia; Sciuridae.
UUGAUAUCAAAUAUGAAUCAAUAUCUUGAUAUCAAAUAUGAAUCAUAUCUUUGCCUUAAUAUUUUUCUAGCCCUUCAAACUUCAGCUUUUUAAUAGAGUUCAUCAUUUCCUCCCUAAAUCCCUUUUAUUUUCUAGAAAAUAGAAUAGAAUAGAAAAUUGUGUUUUCUAUUAUGGCUGUCUAUCUUAAUUGUGUUGGAAAGCUCUUGUUUUGCUGUGGAGCUUCCAAUCCCCCUUGCUCUGUCAAGGGACCAGAUCUUCUGUUGGGUGUUCCCUUCCCUACUCUCAGCCCAGGAUAUGAGGAUAUACCAUUCAGAGCAUAUCCUCAUGCCCACUUCAGGAGAGGGCUUGUGACUGCAACCUGGCCAAUGGAGCAGCACCUUCCUCUAGCCUCAGGGACCCAAAUGAAAGGACAACAGUGCAAUUGGACCCAAACAAGAUGGCCACUUCAGAGGAUAUGGGAGCCGUUGGCAUUAAGGUGCACAUGGAGUUGA